AUUGAACGCUGGCGGCAGGCCUAACACAUGCAAGUCGAACGAGUGGCGGACGGGUGCGUAAUGUCUGGGAAACUGCCUGAUGGAGGGGGAAAACUACUGGAAAAGGUAGCUAAUACCGCAUACCAUCAGAUGUGCCCAGAUGGGAUUAUCUAGUUGGUGGGGUAACGGCUCACCAAGGAGACGUUCCCUAGCUGGCCUGAGAGGAUGACACGCCACACUAGAACUAAGAGCCGUUCCAGCCUCCUACGGGAGGCAGCAGUGGGGAAUAUUGCACAAUUGGCGCAAGCCUGAUGCAGCCAUGCCGCUUGUAUUAAGAAGGCCUUCGGGUUGUAAAGUACUUUCAGCGAGGAGGCGUUGCCCGCAGAGGAAGCACCGGCUAACUCCGUGCCAGCAGCCGCGGUAAUUC
This 406-nucleotide ribosomal RNA is filed under the name uncultured bacterium. RNAcentral describes it as "partial 16S ribosomal RNA". It matches the Rfam family "Bacterial small subunit ribosomal RNA", at positions 30 to 526 of the family's 1533-position model. The record is from RNAcentral.